GUGAGAAGCUGGCCAUCAAAAGAAGCCUGUGCUCGCCGUACACCCACAGACAAAUGGUUUGGUGGAAAAACGAAAUGGCACAAUACAAAGGUCCCUGAACAAACUGGUGGAGGGUGAGCCCAAACGGUGGGACCAACUCCUCCAAGGGACGAUGUUUGGUCUGAGAACGAAAACCCAGCUGACCACCAGGUUCAGCCCUUAUUUUCUGAUGUUUGGGAGGGAGGCGAGGUACCCGUCAGAGGUGCCCAAGGAGUAUGAAAUAACGGAAGAGAAAGUCAGCAGCUUGGUGCAAAUGGAGGAAGUCUUCGAGGGACUCAAAAAACAGGAGGCAGUUUUCGCGGAGGUGAAAGGUAACAUAGCAAAAAGCCAGGAUAAGAUCUGCAAGAAGAAAGAAGGUGGGCAAGUGGACAAUUUUCAAGUGGGGGAUUUCGUUUUAAAAUGCAACAAAAGGUCGGAACAGAGGGAAGGAGGAAAGCUAGAAGCAGACAUGUUGGGACCAUUCAGGAUCCUAAACAUUGAGGGGAAGGUAGCGGACCUUGCUACAAAAAAAGGAAAGAAGACAAUGAGAGUGAACAUUGAUCAUUUGAAACACUAUGUCCAGCCAGAGGAGAGGAUCCCUGCUAAAUUACAAAAAGUGUUGGAUCCUUCUCCUCUGGCUGCUCCACUGCCCUCCACACCCACACCCACCUCCACCUCCACACGAGGAGCAUCCUCUGAUGUAGAGACUUUAAUCCGAGACAUAUGGGCAGGGAGGAGACAAGAGACACUGUGGGCCAAGUAUGGCCCAUACAAAAUAUACAGUCAAAAUCUGUUGGUCUUGGCCCCGGGAGAGGAGUUGGAGGGAGAGAUUGUGAAUGGGUUGGGGCCAAAGCUGGGGUCUUCAUUGUGGACUCCUACCUAAUGACUUCCCUCUGGAAGGGAACCCACAAGGGAAGCUUAAGAAAGGUGAGUAGAGUACUAGAAAUAAGUGUAUAUAUGAACAUAUGUAUGUACUGCGGAAGUUUAUGAAGAGAAUUAUGCAGAAGAUGUGAUGCAG
Long non-coding RNA from Gymnodraco acuticeps, 1036 nucleotides. RefSeq lists it as uncharacterized. The record is from RefSeq and is a predicted model, not a curated record. The transcript is spliced from 5 exons. NCBI's taxonomy places the organism in Eukaryota, Metazoa, Chordata, Actinopteri, Perciformes, Bathydraconidae.